CCUUCUUUUAUAGGUGCUCUUUCUAACACUGAGAAGGUUUAACAGUCACUGCUGCUUAAACUGGGUCAGUGAAGGCAUCACGCAGAACUAAUAGUUUCCUGAGAGAGAUCAGUGGAGGAGAAAACACAACACUGACACCCACACACUUCACUGGCUCUCUGAUCACAUGGAAGAAGCUUUCUAACAGGGUGAGCAGAGAGGAAACCACAACACUGACACCGAGUCACAGAGGAGGAGGAGGAGGAAGAGGAUUUGAUGUGAGGAUGAACGGAGCAAACAGUGGGUCUGAUUUCAGCAGCAUCAGGAUGGAGGAAACAUCUCUGCUGCUGCUGCUCUCUCUGAGCUCACUGCUGUGCUGCACCACAAACCAAGCUCGUCUGACCCUCAGUCCCAGCAGAUCUCAGCAUAUUUUUUAGACAAUAUGUUUCUGAGCUGUGAGGUCUCCACCCAGCUGAUUUCUAUUCACAGGUGAUUGGCUGACUGCCUGGAUUUCUCCAUCAACUGCCUGGCAGUGUCAUUGCUCGUCCAUGAUUGGCUGGCUCCUUAGCACAUACCUGGCUGUGCCAUCACCCGUCUGCAAUUGUUCUGCUCUGUCAUCACCCGCCUGUGAUCGGCCCAAUCGCCUGAUGUCCAACUGGAGCUCAACUCUUUAAGAUGGCUGCUGACCAUCAUUCAGGGCCGCUGUGAUCAUCCAGCACAGCUUGUCAUCUGCAGUCUUAGGACUUGGUGUUGCAGUGUGUAUUUAGGCUGAAUUGUGAUCAGUUUGACUUGUUUUGAUGAUUUUCUUUGAACAAGCUUGGUGUGGAUGCUUUUGCUUAUUGUGUUACAUUGUGGAUGGCUUUAAGUCUUUAGUAUAAUUUUGGUUAAUCUUGAAAUCUCUUGGUUAAGGUUGUUUGUUUUGUGUUUCAUUGCCUUUUGCUAUCAGAACUGUGUUCAUUUACCUUUAGUAAUUUUUGCUUUGAAAAAAAAAAAAAGCAUUUUACUUAUACCAUUUAAGUUCUUGUCUUUAAUAUUGGAAACCUCUUUUUUUCUAGUGGAGCCAGGGUUGUAAAAAUAGAGCAGGGGGGUAUUACACGAAGCUGGAUUAAGGGAAAGCCAGGCUUAUCUUGAUUUAACUUAUCUUAUCUGGG
Molecule: long non-coding RNA, 1130 nt
Organism: Melanotaenia boesemani (Boeseman's rainbowfish)
Lineage: Eukaryota; Metazoa; Chordata; Actinopteri; Atheriniformes; Melanotaeniidae
Exons: 5
Source: RefSeq, a predicted model, not a curated record